GGCUGCGUAGCUCAGUCGGUUAGAGCGAGAGAUUCAUAAACUCUAGGCCGGUGGUUCAAGUCCACCCGCAGCCACCA
RNAcentral lists this transfer RNA (77 nucleotides) under bacterium ADurb.Bin400. RNAcentral's name for it is "tRNA-Met". It matches the Rfam family "tRNA". From Rfam's summary of the family: Transfer RNA (tRNA) molecules are approximately 80 nucleotides in length. Their secondary structure includes four short double-helical elements and three loops (D, anti-codon, and T loops). The record is from RNAcentral.